AAAUAAUCGAGCUUCAAAUUUUAAAAUCCACAGAAUUGCUGUUUUGAGCAGCAGUUAUUUAUUUUUUCUAAGACAUUAGAAUAAAAAAUAUUUGUCUGUGAUUCCUGUAAAUUACCUGUCGUGUGCAUAACAAAGUGUGAGCACCCUGGGUCAAAGCAUAAAGGUGAGAGUCUAGAUUGAUGAGUCAAACUUUCUGGGCUCAGAGACCACUUUGCGAGUAUAAUGGAAACAAUGCAUUCUCUCUAGAUACUCAUGUGUGCACAAGCACAGACACUCACACGUGUUAUUUUGCAUGUUAUUUCAGAAUGGAAGGACCCAGAUGUUACUGGAUGAAAGGUCAAGUCACCUGCUAUAGGAGUAGGCAGGUUGCAUUAACAACUCCACUCAGAGGCCACUCUGCCUUCCUCAAAAGGCCAGAAGAAGGGCAGACGGAAGGAAGGAAGAAAGAAAAGAAGCAAAGAAGGAUGGAUGGACAUGCGGAAGAAUGUGGCUGCUGCUUUAAAUGUACCACUGUUAAGCUCCAAACACGGUAGCCAAGAGCUCAUGUUAAAUGACCUGAUUCCAGUUUCCUCUUCCUCAAAACCUUGCUCUCAGAUGGGAACCAGCUCGUUCAUGCUAGCCUACCUCAGGCCCGUUAUACUUCAGUAUUUCUUCAGGUUUGAUCCAGGGACCACCUGCAGCUGAAACACAUGGGUGCUUGUUAACAAUGCAAAUUGCUAGGCUCUACCAACUGAAUCAUAAUUUCUAGAAGUGGAAAAUCUAAAUAAACAUUUUAAAUAAGUUU
RNAcentral lists this long non-coding RNA (784 nucleotides) under Equus caballus (horse). Its description in RNAcentral is "lncRNA (ENSECAG00000055640.1)". Lineage: Eukaryota; Metazoa; Chordata; Mammalia; Perissodactyla; Equidae. The record is from RNAcentral.